RNAcentral lists this ribosomal RNA (457 nucleotides) under uncultured Spirochaeta sp. RNAcentral describes it as "bacterial SSU rRNA". It matches the Rfam family "Bacterial small subunit ribosomal RNA", at positions 925 to 1382 of the family's 1533-position model. The record is from RNAcentral. Lineage: Bacteria; Pseudomonadati; Spirochaetota; Spirochaetia; Spirochaetales; Spirochaetaceae.
ACAAGCGGUGGAGCAUGUGGUUUAAUUCGAUGGUACGCGAGGAACCUUACCAGGGCUUGACAUACGUUGGAAGCGCAUCGAAAGGUGCGUGCCGCUUGCGGCCGGCGUACAGGUGCUGCAUGGCUGUCGUCAGCUCGUGCUGUGAAGUGUUGGGUUAAGUCCCGCAACGAGCGCAACCCCUGCUGCCUGUUGCCACCACGAGAGGUGGGGACUCAGGCGGGACCGCCGGUGACAAACCGGAGGAAGGUGGGGACGGACGUCAAGUCAUCAUGGCCCUUAUGUCCUGGGCUACACACGUGCUACAAUGGCCGGUACAGAGCGCAGCGAGGCCGCGAGGCGGAGCGAAUCGCUUAAAGCCGGUCCCAGUACGGAUUGGAGUCUGCAACCCGACUCCAUGAAGUUGGAAUCGCUAGUAAUCGCGCAUCAGCAUGGCGCGGUGAAUACGUUCCCGGGCCUU